GAUGAACGCUGGCGGCGUGCCUAGCACAUGCAAGUCGAGCGAAGAUAGAGACGAGUAUUCGUACAAAUUUUUAUCUUAGCGGCGGACGGGUGAGUAACACGUGAGUAACCUGCCUUUCACUGGGGAAUAACAUCGAGAAAUCGGUGCUAAUACCGCAUAAUGUCACGAGACUGCAUGGUUUUGUGACCAAAGGAGUAAUCCGGUGAUAGAUGGACUCGCGUCCGAUUAGAUAGUUGGUGAGGUAACGGCCCACCAAGUCUACGAUCGGUAGCCGAACUGAGAGGUUGAUCGGCCACAUUGGGACUGAGACACGGCCCAGACUCCUACGGGAGGCAGCAGUGGGGAAUAUUGGGCAAUGGGCGAAAGCCUGACCCAGCAACGCCGCGUGAAGGAAGAAGGUCUUCGGAUUGUAAACUUCUUUGAUCAGGGACGAAUAAAUGACGGUACCUGAAGAACAAGCCACGGCUAACUACGUG
This 476-nucleotide ribosomal RNA is filed under the name uncultured bacterium. RNAcentral's name for it is "bacterial SSU rRNA". It matches the Rfam family "Bacterial small subunit ribosomal RNA", at positions 28 to 507 of the family's 1533-position model. The record is from RNAcentral.